GCUCCCACUACCCCACUAUUGAUCUUCAACCAGAGUCCCCACAGUUGUGUGGAUUUUACAUAUUGGACAUUUGUAUAAGAUUUUAAUGGUUACAAAGAUUUGACAGCUAAGAAUUUUUUGAAAAGCCACAAAAACAGAUCAUCCCCAAGGUCCCUCAUAGUCCCAUGAGACGAAGAGGAAGGAAGAGCUUUUGGGAUAUGAUACUACUCAGAGGUUUAAGCCAUGGGCAGGAGAUGCUGACCUUCAAAUUCUAAAUUCAGCUUGUUGGCAUAUUAUGUAAUAGUCCACCUGUUUUGCUUUUCCCAUCUGGACAGCAGAAGUAGUACAUAACUGGGUUCUCUAAAACGUAUGGUAGUUAUGGCAAUAUACACUAUUUGAAAAAGAAAUGGUGGCCUAGCUAGCUUAUUUCAGUUUUCGCCUUACUAAAAACUCACAGACGUAGAUUCCACCAAGGAAGCUGAAAGGGAAAAAUGGAGACAAGCUAACUAUAUAUGAGAAGAAUGAGUAAUAAACCGUGGCUUAGUCAUUCAAUGGAAUACUACAUCUAGUUCAACUGAAUGAAAAUAAUCUCCAUGGAUCAACAUGGAUUUUCAUAUGGUCAAAAUACCCACGGAAUAUAUGAGUGGCAGCAGUAAACAGUCCUUGAAGUUCUUGGUUGUUUAACUUGACUGUUGGUGAUGCCCAGUGAGGCCCUGUCUGCUCCAAGCAAAUUACAUAAAAAAGAUGUGAAUAAAAACUCAUCAAAUACUAACAGAGGGGUAUGUGAUCUGUAUACUUACAAUGAACUUUUCAAGACACAGGCUACAAAAUGCACUGGCUAAGAAAUGACUAGGAACCAAGGGCAGAAUGGGGAUAAAGUGAAUUCCAGCAAAAUGCUGUCCCUUCAAUAAGUCUGACUGGAAGGCCCAAGUGGCCAACUGGAACACCUCCAUGGGAUACAGUAAGUAUGGGGCUUUGGGAAAACACACACACACACACACACACACACACACACACGGCCUACUUUAGCACAGACCCAGCCAUUUGUGAAUCAAGAUUUCUUGGGGGAGAUUUCUGAG
This 1058-nucleotide long non-coding RNA is filed under the name Papio anubis (olive baboon). RNAcentral describes it as "lncRNA (ENSPANG00000050519.1)". The record is from RNAcentral. Lineage: Eukaryota; Metazoa; Chordata; Mammalia; Primates; Cercopithecidae.